RNAcentral lists this transfer RNA (72 nucleotides) under Coemansia sp. 'formosensis'. Its description in RNAcentral is "tRNA-Thr". It matches the Rfam family "tRNA". From Rfam's summary of the family: Transfer RNA (tRNA) molecules are approximately 80 nucleotides in length. Their secondary structure includes four short double-helical elements and three loops (D, anti-codon, and T loops). RNAcentral also lists the same sequence under 1 other name. Lineage: Eukaryota; Fungi; Kickxellomycota; Kickxellomycetes; Kickxellales; Kickxellaceae. The record is from RNAcentral.
GCCCGCGUGGCUAAGAGGCACAGCGUCUGUCUUGUAAACAGAAGAUCAUCGGUUCGAUUCCGAUCGUGGGCA